GCGGGCGUGGCGGAAUUGGCAGACGCGCUAGAUUCAGGUUCUAGUGUUCACAAGACGUGGAGGUUCGACUCCUCUCGCCCGCA
This 83-nucleotide transfer RNA is filed under the name Phycisphaerae bacterium. RNAcentral describes it as "tRNA-Leu". It matches the Rfam family "tRNA". From Rfam's summary of the family: Transfer RNA (tRNA) molecules are approximately 80 nucleotides in length. Their secondary structure includes four short double-helical elements and three loops (D, anti-codon, and T loops). RNAcentral also lists the same sequence under 1 other name. The record is from RNAcentral. Lineage: Bacteria; Pseudomonadati; Planctomycetota; Phycisphaerae.